This 317-nucleotide unclassified non-coding RNA is filed under the name Hevea brasiliensis (rubber tree). Lineage: Eukaryota; Viridiplantae; Streptophyta; Magnoliopsida; Malpighiales; Euphorbiaceae. The record is from RNAcentral.
UUUUUUUUUUUUUUUUAAGGAAAAAAAAACCCAUCCAUUUAUCUUUCGUCACUCGAUAAAAUCUUCAAACUGUCUGACGUCGUUUAAACAAGGAAAAAAAUAUUUAUUGCGCUGUGGCGGCUCAUUCAUUGGUUGGGACGGUGGGCCCGUUAACGCCUUCAUGAAACACCUUAGCAAUCCUCUCGAUUGGGAUCAACGCCGCCAUAUACCCUCUAUCCGCUGCAUAAGAAACCAACUGAUUGUAUUUCUCAGACCAGCGAGCAGCAGUGGGGACUACGACUUGAGCAGCUUGAGGAAAUAGAGGAAGCCGAUUCAGU